GACGAACGCUGGCGGCGUGCCUAAUACAUGCAAGUCGAGCGGACUUUCAAGAAGCUUGCUUUUUGAAAGUUAGCGGCGGACGGGUGAGUAACACGUGGGCAACCUUCCUGCAAGACGGGGAUAACUCCGGGAAACCGGGGCUAAUACCGGAUAAUAUCUUCCUUCGCAUGAAGGAAGGUUUAAAGGCGGCUCACGCUGCCGCUUGCAGCUGUGCCCGCGGCGCAUUAGCUAGUUGGUGAGGUAACGGCUCACCAAGGCGACGAUGCGUAGCCGACCUGAGAGGGUGAGCGGCCACACUGGGACUGAGACACGGCCCAGACUCCUACGGGAGGCAGCAGUAGGGAAUCAUCCGCAAUGGACGAAAGUCUGACGGAGCAACGCCGCGGGAGCGAAGAAGGUCGUCGGAUCGGAAAGCUCUGUUGUCAGGGAAGAAAAAGUACCGUUCGAACAGGGCGGUACCUUGACGGUACCUGAACAGAAAGCCACGGCUAACUACGUG
Molecule: ribosomal RNA, 499 nt
Filed under: uncultured bacterium
Lineage: Bacteria
Description: partial 16S ribosomal RNA
Rfam family: Bacterial small subunit ribosomal RNA
Source: RNAcentral